GACGAACGCUGGCGGCGUGCUUAACACAUGCAAGUCGAACGGAAAGGCCCUGCUUUUGUGGGGUGCUCGAGUGGCGAACGGGUGAGUAACACGUGAGUAACCUGCCCUUGACUUUGUGAUAACUUCAGGAAACUGGGGCUAAUACCGGAUAGGAGCUACUGCUGAAUGGUGGGGGUUGGAAAGUUUCGGCGGUUGGGGAUGGACUCGCGGCUUAUCAGCUUGUUGGUGGGGUAGUGGCUUACCAAGGCAUUGACGGGUAGCCGGCCUGAGAGGGUGACCGGCCACAUUGGGACUGAGAUACGGCCCAGACUCCUACGGGAGGCAGCAGUGGGGAAUAUUGCACAAUGGGCGGAAGCCUGAUGCAGCAACGCCGCGUGCGGGAUGACGGCCUUCGGGUUGUAAACCGCUUUCGCCUGUGACGAAGCGUGAGUGACGGUAAUGGGUAAAGAAGCACCGGCUAACUACGUG
RNAcentral lists this ribosomal RNA (468 nucleotides) under uncultured bacterium. RNAcentral describes it as "partial 16S ribosomal RNA". It matches the Rfam family "Bacterial small subunit ribosomal RNA", at positions 28 to 507 of the family's 1533-position model. The record is from RNAcentral.